Molecule: ribosomal RNA, 254 nt
Filed under: uncultured bacterium
Lineage: Bacteria
Description: partial 16S ribosomal RNA
Rfam family: Bacterial small subunit ribosomal RNA
Source: RNAcentral
UACGGAGGGUGCGAGCGUUAUCCGGAAUCACUGGGUUUAAAGGGUGCGUAGGCGGUCUGAUAAGUCAGUUGUGAAAUUCCUCGGCUUAACCGAGUGGACUGCGAUUGAUACUGUCAGACUUGAAUCAGGUUGAGGUAGGCGGAAUGUGACAUGUAGCGGUGAAAUGCGUAGAUAUCUGGAGGAACACCGGUGGCGAAGGCGGCAUCCUGGACCAACACUGACACUGAGGAGCGAAAGCCAGGGGAGCAAACGGG